GACGAACGCUGGCGGCGUGCCUAAUACAUGCAAGUCGAACGCAGUGGGGACGGGCUAGUAACCCGUGUGUAACCUCCCAUCAGAGGGGAUAACACUUGGAAACAGGUGCUACACCCAUACUGUUGGAUGGACCCGCGGUGCCUUAGCUAGUUGGUGCGGGAACGGGUCAUCAAGGCCACGAUGCAUAGCAGAUCUGAGAGGGUGAUCGGCAACACUGGGAAUGAGACACGGCCCAGACGCCUACGGGAGGCAGCAGUAGGGAAGAUUCGGCAAUGGACGAAAGUCGGACCGAGCAACGCCGCGUGAGUGAAGAAGGUUUUCGGAUCUGAAAACUCUGUUGUUAGAGAAGCGGUAUCUAACCAGAAAGCCACGGCUAACUACGUGCCAGCAGCCGCGGUAAUAC
RNAcentral lists this ribosomal RNA (403 nucleotides) under uncultured bacterium. RNAcentral describes it as "partial 16S ribosomal RNA". It matches the Rfam family "Bacterial small subunit ribosomal RNA", at positions 28 to 526 of the family's 1533-position model. The record is from RNAcentral.